This is a non-coding RNA of Chiloscyllium plagiosum (whitespotted bambooshark), 477 nucleotides long. The record is from RefSeq and is a predicted model, not a curated record. Lineage: Eukaryota; Metazoa; Chordata; Chondrichthyes; Orectolobiformes; Hemiscylliidae.
AAUUGUAGAAUCCGUCUGAUCUUCAAGACAUAAGACUGGUUCCCAAUCUUGAUGUUUUUCCUAAGCUUGGUUCCAGAGAUCAGCACAUUGGGAUAAUAAUAUGGACGGUUGUAAACCCAAUGGUAAUGGAAGAACUGGGGAGCCCCAGAAGCAUAUUCCUGGACUGGGGUCUGGUGCAGGCAGUCAGACCACACGUGGAAGCCCGUAUGCUGAGCUGCUGCAAUAUCUAAGUCCACCUGACUUGAAGGAUGACCAUCCUCGUACAGACAACGGCUUGCCACAAUCGCUAUAAUUGGAAGGACUAAGAAAGUAACUUUCCACCUUGUGAUCUGAUCUUUCAAUUUUGUUCACACUGUAUAUAUUCUUUCCACCCACAAUAUAUGUGUUAAACCAUUUGUCUUUGACUGUCUUAAUCAUGACUAAGUGUGUGUGUGCAUUUGGGGUGCUGAAGGGGCAUAGCUUAAGUUGUAGAAAUUA